GAUAAACGCUGGCGGCGUGCAUAACACAUGCAAGUCGAACGAUGAAGAUUAAAAGAGUUCUUCGGAAUGAACUUAAUUGGAUUAGUGGCGGACGGGUGAGUAACGCGUGAGUAACCUGCCUUGUACAAGGGGAUAGCCGUUGGAAACGACGAAUAAUACCCUAUGACAUCAAAUAAUCGCAUGAUAAUUUGAUCAAAGAUUUAUCGGUAUAAGAUGGACUCGCGUCUGAUUAGCUAGUUGGUAGAGUAAAAGCCUACCAAGGCAACGAUCAGUAGCCGGCUUGAGAGAGUGUACGGCCACAUUGGGACUGAGACACGGCCCAGACUCCGACGGGAGGCAGCAGUGGGGAAUUUUGCACAAUGGGGGAAACCCUGAUGCAGCGACGCCGCGUGAUUUAGAAGGCCUUCGGGUUGUAAAAAUCUUUUGUAUGGGAAGAAAAUGACAGUACCAUACGAAUAAGGACCGGCUAAUUACGUG
RNAcentral lists this ribosomal RNA (477 nucleotides) under uncultured bacterium. Its description in RNAcentral is "partial 16S ribosomal RNA". It matches the Rfam family "Bacterial small subunit ribosomal RNA", at positions 28 to 507 of the family's 1533-position model. The record is from RNAcentral.